Molecule: transfer RNA, 94 nt
Filed under: Astyanax mexicanus (Mexican tetra)
Lineage: Eukaryota; Metazoa; Chordata; Actinopteri; Characiformes; Acestrorhamphidae
Rfam family: tRNA
About the family: Transfer RNA (tRNA) molecules are approximately 80 nucleotides in length.
Source: Rfam by way of RNAcentral
GCUCCAGUGGUGCAAUCGGUUAGCGCCUGGUAAUUAUAAGACAACACACAGCAGAGCAACGCUAAAGUUGUGAGUUCAAGCCUCACCUGGUGCU